AUCGGCCAAACUACAUUCAAUUCAAGUUAUACAUAUAUCGAAUCGGUCUGAAAACAAAAUUUUAGUUGAAUCAUCUAAACUUUUCAAAAUGUUGAAAGGUGUGUGCUGCUUGCGUCUCCAUACGGCGGGAAAAUUCAUUGGCUGGUCUGAAUUUAUUCUAUCACUCGUUCUCUAUAUAUGUGUAUUUUGGCUUAUGGGUGGUACCAGAAUGGUGUCAAUUAAGACUAAUGUGCUAGAUGCUCUGACUGGAUGCAUAUAUAUGGCUAUAAUUUCUGUACAUUUAAUUAACUCGAUUUUCCUUAUAAUUGGUGUCAAUAAGAACCGUCAUGGAUAUUUGUUGCCGUGGCUAAUAUGGCAAGCAGCUUCCUUGGUAUGGGUCAUACUUUUGCGGUAUGAACAACUUUCUUCAGGACAAAUUCAGCCCGCAGUCAGCUCUAUUCCUUAUCUUGCUCUCAGAAUUUACAUUUUUUAUAUAAUACUGUCGCUCUACCAACACAUUAAGACUGACAAAGGACUAAAGGAAAUUGACCAAGAAGCACAACUUGUUCAGAAAUAAUAAAACUAAGAAAAGUUCAACAUAUUUUUGUCAAAUAACGCUUUCAAAAUAGUUAAUUUACAUACAAGAAGUCCUUCUACUGACUUUGCCGAAUAUCCUUAAGACUCCCCUUCAAAGUUAGAAAAGAACUAUAGACAUUAGGGGCCACUUACAUCAUCUAAUCAAAAUGUUGACCAUAAAUUCUCUAGGCGGCAUUUAAAUUUAACAUUAAUGUAAUCUUAAUUAAACUAACUAAGCUGUUUCAA
Drosophila willistoni is the source of this 801-nucleotide long non-coding RNA. RefSeq lists it as uncharacterized. The record is from RefSeq and is a predicted model, not a curated record. NCBI's taxonomy places the organism in Eukaryota, Metazoa, Arthropoda, Insecta, Diptera, Drosophilidae. The transcript is spliced from 3 exons.